Molecule: ribosomal RNA, 253 nt
Filed under: uncultured bacterium
Lineage: Bacteria
Description: partial 16S ribosomal RNA
Rfam family: Bacterial small subunit ribosomal RNA
Source: RNAcentral
UACGUAGGGUGCAAGCGUUAAUCGGAAUUACUGGGCGUAAAGCGUGCGCAGGCGGUUUUGUAAGUUUGUCGUGAAAGCCCCGGGCUCAACCUGGGAAUUGCGAUGAAGACUGCAAGGCUUGAAUCUGGCAGAGGGGGGUAGAAUUCCACGUGUAGCAGUGAAAUGCGUAGAUAUGUGGAGGAACACCGAUGGCGAAGGCAGCCCCCUGGGUCAAGACUGACGCUCAUGCACGAAAGCGUGGGGAGCAAACAGG